GACGAACGCUGGCGGCGUGCUUAACACAUGCAAGUCGAACGUGAUUUUUGUGGAAAUUCUUUCGGGAAUGGAAAUGAAAUGAAAGUGGCGAACGGGUGAGUAACACGUGAGCAACCUACCUUACACAGGGGGAUAGCCGUUGGAAACGACGAUUAAUACCGCAUGAGACCACAGAAUCGCAUGAUAUAGGGGUCAAAGAUUUAUCGGUGUAAGAAGGGCUCGCGUCUGAUUAGCUAGUUGGAAGGGUAAAGGCCUACCAAGGCGACGAUCAGUAGCCGGUCUGAGAGGAUGAACGGCCACAUUGGAACUGAGACACGGUCCAAACUCCUACGGGAGGCAGCAGUGGGGAAUAUUGCACAAUGGGGGGAACCCUGAUGCAGCGACGCCGCGUGAGCGAAGAAGGUUUUCGAAUCGUAAAGCUCUGUCCUAUGAGAAGAUAAUGACGCUAUCAUAGGAGGAAGCCCCGGCUAAAUACGUG
Molecule: ribosomal RNA, 478 nt
Filed under: uncultured bacterium
Lineage: Bacteria
Description: partial 16S ribosomal RNA
Rfam family: Bacterial small subunit ribosomal RNA
Source: RNAcentral